CUGGGUCAAAGAGGACGCAACCGCCUCGCCGCUUCCCUGCUCCUGCACUCCGUCGUGUCAUCGAUGUUCAUCUGAUUUCCUCUGGUGGCACGGAUGACGACGCCUUACGACAACUGAUGGAAAACAUGGCGUGUCGUCUAAAAUUCUGACACAUCUCGUCAAUGGUCUAUGAUGUCCUGCUUGGUACGUGUUCCACACUGAUGACCAAUGCUGAAGAACUGAUCGAACGAGUGUUUUGUAAGCUGCCUCCUUUGUGGGUGGACCACACUUAGUGAGGAUUCUUCCAAUGAUUCUUAGUUACUAGUGGCGCCUGCCUUUCCUGCAAGUGGGUUUAUUGGGUCGCUCCGGUUCACAUCGUAUCUGUACUCGCAGCAACGUUCUUCGAAAACCGCCUCUUGGAGUGAUAUCGCAACAAGCAGUCCUGAAAGAGACUUCCUAGUACAUGGUGGCAGUACGUUAUGUACACUGAUAUAUAUCAGAAAAUACGUGCUACAUCCGCUCAACACACUCCAGAAGUGCGGUGCGACCCAUGGCUCGAGUCUUAUUACAUUCUACGUCAUAUUGGGAGACCUGCACGCUGCAUGGGGAUGAAAUGACGAUGAAGACAACACAACACCCAGUCCCUCAUCGGAGAAAAUCCCCGACCCAGCCAGGAAUCAAACCCGGGUCCCUUAGGACGGCAGUCCGUCACGCUGACUAUUCAGAUAUCGGGGCGGACCAUCUAAUGGCGAAUUCGGCUAUAAAGCGAAUAUGGAAACAACCUAACGAAAGAAGACAACGCCACAGAAGAGCAGUUACGAAGAGGAAAACUGAAGGACGGUACAAAAUUCCAUACACGAAGCAAACGCCGAUUAUGGAGGUUCUGGAGAAGAUGGUAGGAGAUGGCCAUUCCGCUAUCCUCUGCUGGAGUGAAAUCACACAACGGGGUCUCUGGCAGGGAAGCUGCCGUUACAGGACACAGUGUAUUGACUCCAGUCCUAAUUACAGAUUACUGAUAUGUGUUACACAGUGGCAUCAUAGAAUACGGUCCCCGUGACUUGGAGGAAACCUCAAGGCAGCUUACCGCCAAACAACGAAGAGUCAACGAAUGCCGACCUGCCGCCGUGUCAUCCCCUGCCUUGCGGUGUCACGUGGAUGCUGUUUGUAGGGGCAUAUGGCGAGCACACCGGUCUCCCAGCCGUUUUGCAGACUUUCCAGACGGCGGAGCCGCCACUACUCGUUCAAGAAGCUCCUCAUUUGGUAUCACGAGGCUGAGUGUACCACGAACCAGUCCUCCCACUAAUGAAAAAAUCCAAAGCAGUACCGUGUAUCGAACCUGGGACCUCCACAUCACAUAGUCAACAAAGAUAACUAAGCAGUAAUUCACCCGUCGGUCUCCUAUUCCACGAAAGCCUGUACAUAUUCAAUGACUGGGCACCUCGCCUCUCCAACAGCCAAACCUAAACUUAACCACAAAUGUUUCUAUAAACACCUCCACUGGCUCCUCAAGGUUCAGGCGAUUUUGUGCUCUUGUGGAGAAGAAAGCGACGCAGAUUAGCUUUUCUUCAGGCGCCCCAAACUGCAAGGAAGUACUACAGUUCUUUCACGUGAACUUGUGAAGCUUUGCCAUCCAGCGCGGACCUGCGUGACACUUUUGUUAGCAACACCGUGUGACAGACUGUCUAGAUUAGAUUAGAUUAGAUUAGAUU
RNA transcript from Schistocerca gregaria, 1688 nucleotides. RefSeq lists it as uncharacterized. NCBI's taxonomy places the organism in Eukaryota, Metazoa, Arthropoda, Insecta, Orthoptera, Acrididae. The transcript is spliced from 7 exons. The record is from RefSeq and is a predicted model, not a curated record.